This 447-nucleotide ribosomal RNA is filed under the name uncultured bacterium. Its description in RNAcentral is "bacterial SSU rRNA". It matches the Rfam family "Bacterial small subunit ribosomal RNA", at positions 329 to 796 of the family's 1533-position model. The record is from RNAcentral.
AACCAGACUCCUACGGGAGGCAGCAGUGGGGGAUAUUGGACAAUGGGGGAAACCCUGAUCCAGCGAUGCCGCGUGAGGGAAGAAGGUUUUCGGAUUGUAAACCUCUGUGGACAGGGACGAUAAUGACGGUACCUGUCAAGAAAGCCACGGCUAACUCCGUGCCAGCAGCCGCGGUAAUACGGAGGAUGCGAGCGUUAUCCGGAUUUAUUGGGUUUAAAGGGUGCGCAGGCGGUCUGUUAAGUCAGCGGUCAAAGCCGGGGCCCAACCCCCGGCCCGCCGUUGAAACUGGCAGUCUCGAGUUGGAGAGAAGUAUGCGGAAUGCGCGGUGUAGCGGUGAAAUGCAUAGAUAUCGCGCAGAACUCCGAUUGCGAAGGCAGCAUGCCGGCUCCACACUGACGCUGAGGCACGAAAGCGUGGGUAUCGAACAGGAUUAGAUACCCUUGUACC